GCUAAAGAAACUAAAGUUGAGCAAAUAACCAAAAUGUGAAUUAAAGGUUUAACAAUCAGAUGAGAAAGCUUCAGUAGAGAUUCAAGUUUCCAAUAUGGAAUACAAAAUGUAGCUAUCACGUCCCUUGACUCAUGAUAUAUUCAUCUAUCUUGUCUCUACAAGCUCAUCAUUAAGCAUGAGGUUUGAAUAGGAACUACCAAUACUUAU
RNAcentral lists this unclassified non-coding RNA (207 nucleotides) under Hevea brasiliensis (rubber tree). Lineage: Eukaryota; Viridiplantae; Streptophyta; Magnoliopsida; Malpighiales; Euphorbiaceae. The record is from RNAcentral.